GAAGGGGGCUUGCGGCAGCCUAACACAUGCAAGUCGAGCGGAACGAGUUAUCUGAACCUUCGGGGAACGAUAACGGCGUCGAGCGGCGGACGGGUGAGUAAUGCCUAGGAAAUUGCCCUGAUGUGGGGGAUAACCAUUGGAAACGAUGGCUAAUACCGCAUGAUGCCUACGGGCCAAAGAGGGGGACCUUCGGGCCUCUCGCGUCAGGAUAUGCCUAGGUGGGAUUAGCUAGUUGGUGAGGUAAGGGCUCACCAAGGCGACGAUCCCUAGCUGGUCUGAGAGGAUGAUCAGCCACACUGGAACUGAGACACGGUCCAGACUCCUACGGGAGGCAGCAGUGGGGAAUAUUGCACAAUGGGCGCAAGCCUGAUGCAGCCAUGCCGCGUGUGUGAAGAAGGCCUUCGGGUUGUAAAGCACUUUCAGUCGUGAGGAAGGUGGUGUAGUUAAUAGCUGCAUUAUUUGACGUUAGCGACAGAAGAAGCACCGGCUAACUCCGUGCCAGCAGCCGCGGUAAUACGGAGGGUGCGAGCGUUAAUCGGAAUUACUGGGCGUAAAGCGCAUGCAGGUGGUUUGUUAAGUCAGAUGUGAAAGCCCGGGGCUCAACCUCGGAAUUGCAUUUGAAACUGGCAGACUAGAGUACUGUAGAGGGGGGUAGAAUUUCAGGUGUAGCGGUGAAAUGCGUAGAGAUCUGAAGGAAUACCGGUGGCGAAGGCGGCCCCCUGGACAGAUACUGACACUCAGAUGCGAAAGCGUGGGGAGCAAACAGGAUUAGAUACCCUGGUAGUCCACGCCGUAAACGAUGUCUACUUGGAGGUUGUGGCCUUGAGCCGUGGCUUUCGGAGCUAACGCGUUAAGUAGACCGCCUGGGGAGUACGGUCGCAAGAUUAAAACUCAAAUGAAUUGACCGGGGCCCGCACAAGCGGUGGGAGCAUGUGGUUUAAUUUCGA
This 947-nucleotide ribosomal RNA is filed under the name Vibrionaceae bacterium enrichment culture clone TUNA2. RNAcentral's name for it is "bacterial SSU rRNA". It matches the Rfam family "Bacterial small subunit ribosomal RNA", at positions 26 to 954 of the family's 1533-position model. Lineage: Bacteria; Pseudomonadati; Pseudomonadota; Gammaproteobacteria; Vibrionales; Vibrionaceae. The record is from RNAcentral.